GAUGAACGCUGGCGGUCUGCUUGACACAUGCAAGUCGAACGGAAUCCUUCGGGCUUUAAUGGCGGCCGGGUGAGUAACGCGUGAGAAUCUGCCUCAAGGUUCGGGACACCAUCUGGGAACGCCUGCUAAUAGCGGAUGUGCCGACGGAUGAACGCUUUAGUGACUGAAGAUGAGCUCGUGUCUGAUGAGCUAGUAGGAGUGGUAAAGGCGCCCCUAGGUGACGCUCAGUAGCUGGUCUGAGAGGAGGAUCAUACACACUGGGACUGAGACACCGCCAAGAAUCAUACGGGGGGAAGGAGUGGGGAAUUUUCCGAAAUGGGCGCAAGCCUGAAGGAGCAAGACCGCGUGAGGGAAGAAGGUCUGUGGAUUGUAAACCUCUUUUGAUGGGGAGGGAGACAGUGACGGUACCCAUCGAAUCAGCAUCGGCUAACUCCGUGCCAGCCGCCGCCGUAA
This 453-nucleotide ribosomal RNA is filed under the name uncultured bacterium. RNAcentral's name for it is "partial 16S ribosomal RNA". It matches the Rfam family "Bacterial small subunit ribosomal RNA", at positions 28 to 523 of the family's 1533-position model. The record is from RNAcentral.